UUUAUUUUCCAUGGAAUUGAACUUUCCAAUGUCUUCGCACGUCCUCACGUAUUUCCUCUCUCUCCCUCUCCUCUUCCUCACGUAGAAAACCCUCUCUCAUCACAGUCGAACAUAACCAGAACGAUGAUAGAAGAAACCAUAGAGAAGGAAGAAGAACCCAAGUACUCACACAUCUGAACCAAGAAGAAGGAAGAAAAAAAUAAGCAACCAAACAUCCCUGGUUCCAUAUCCAUCCUAUUCACUGCCAAACUUCGAUACCGAGCCGUUGAUUGCGUCGAUUAAGAAGCCAGUGAAAAAAUGGAGAUAUUCAGGGGUUCCAAAUACUUAAUGAGGCCGUGAAGCAUAUUUGGUCCAUCAAAGAAAAGAAGAAUUGAAUGAUCUAUUAGGAGGGGAAAGCGAUGGACUGCCAAAAUUUGCCUAUUUCUAAGAUAUGCUUCUCUCGGAUACAGAGAUCCAAUCUCAAUCUAUACAUCAAAGCUGUUCACUGUGAGCUUCAACCAUUUGCCUGUACCAUUCCUGGUUGUGGGAUGAAAUUUGCAUUCAAACAUAUCAGGGAUAAUCAUGAAAAAUCUGGGUGCCAUGUUUAUACCCAGGGAAAUUUUGAAGAGUCCAAUGAGCAUUUCGUCUAAGACCAAGAGGUUUCAGGAAAAGAACAAGCCUAGAGAUUGAGACCUUGAUGCGGAAAAGGGUUGUUUCGCCUAGUGAAUCAGGUCUCAUGAGACAGGGGGGAGUUGAAUACUUGUCAUGGCUACUUUUUGGAUAUCCACAGGAUUAAACGAUCGUUGGGAGAAGACGGAGAUGCUGCCAUCAAACAUAUGUAAAAGUAUGGUAUUCACAGGAUUAAGAGGACUUGCUUAGAGAAUUCAACAAACAUAUGUAUAAGUAUGGUAUCUUUGUUGAUUUUAAUUGCUAUAUCGUACGAUAGACAUGUUUUGGCU
Olea europaea var. sylvestris is the source of this 938-nucleotide long non-coding RNA. RefSeq lists it as uncharacterized. The record is from RefSeq and is a predicted model, not a curated record. Lineage: Eukaryota; Viridiplantae; Streptophyta; Magnoliopsida; Lamiales; Oleaceae. The transcript has 4 exons.